Molecule: ribosomal RNA, 1779 nt
Filed under: Durio zibethinus
Lineage: Eukaryota; Viridiplantae; Streptophyta; Magnoliopsida; Malvales; Malvaceae
Description: SSU rRNA
Rfam family: Eukaryotic small subunit ribosomal RNA
Source: RNAcentral
CCUGGUUGAUCCUACCAGUAGUCAUAUGCUUGUCUCAAAGAGUAAGCCAUGCAUGAGUAAGUAUGAACUAAUUCAGACUGUGAAACUGCGAAUGGUUCAUUAAAUCAGUUAUAGUUUGUUUGAUGGUAUCUACUACUCGAAUAACCAUAGUAAUUCUAGAGCUAAUACGUGCAACAAACCCUGACUUCUGGAUAAAAGGUCGACGCGGGUUAUGCCCGUUGCUCUGAUGAUUCAUGAUAACUCGACGGAUUGCACGACCUUUGUGUCGGUGACGCAUCAUUCAAAUUUCUACCCUAUCAACUUUCGAUGGUAGGAUAGUGGCCUACUAUGGUGGUGACGGGUGGCGAAGAAUUAGGGUUCGAUUCCGAAGAGGGAGCCUGAGAAACGGCUACCACAGCCAAAGAAGGCAGCAGGCGUGCAAGUUACCCAAUCCUGACACAGGGAGGUAGUGACAAUAAAUAACAAUAUCGGGCUUUCUAAGUCUGGUAAUUGGAAUGAGUACAAUCUAAAUCCUUUAACGAGGAUCCGUUGGAGGGUAAGUCUGGUGACAGCAGCCACGAUAAUUCUAGCUCCAAUAGCAUUUAUUUAAGUUGUUGUAGUUAAAAAGCUCGUAGUUGGAACUAGGGUUGGGUCGUCUGGUCCACCUCACAGUGAGCAUCGGUCUACUCAUCCCUACUGUCAGCAAUGCGCUCUUGGACUUAAUUACUUGGAGUCAUUCCUUCGACACUGUUACUUUGAAGAAAUUAGAGUGCUCAAAGUAGGCCUACGCUUGUAUACAUUAGCAUGGGAUAACAUCAUAGGAUUUCGAUCCUAUUGUGUUGGCCUUUAGGACAGAGUAAUGAUUAACAGGGACAGUCGGGGCAUUCGUAUUUCAUAGUCAGAGGUGAAAUUCUUGGAUUUAUGAAAGACAAACAACUGGGAAAGCAUUUGCCAAGGAUGUUUUCAUUAAUCAAGAAUGAAAGUUGAGGGCUCGAAGACGAUCAGAUACCGUCUUAGUCUCAACCAUAAACGAUGCCGACCAAAGAUCGACGGAUGUUACUUUUAGGACUUCACCAGCACCUUAUGAGAAAUCAACGUCUUUAGGUUCCGGGGGGAGUAUGGUCGCAAGGCUGAAACUUAAAGGAAUCGAUAGAAGGGCACCACCAUGAGUGGAGCCUAUGGCUUAAUUUGACUCAACAUGGGGAAACUUACCAGGUCUAGACAUAGUAAGGAUUGAUAGACUGAGAGCUCUUUCUUGAUUCUAUAGGUGAUGGUGCCUGGCCGUUCUUAGUUGGUGGAGCAAUUUGUCUAGUUAAUUUCGUUAACGAAUGAGACCUCAGCCUACUAACUAGCUACGCGAAGGCGAUCCUUCGUGGCUAGCUUCUUAGAGGGACUAUGGCCGCUUAGGCCAAGGAAGUUUGAGGUAAUAACAGGUCUGUGAUGCCCUUAGAUGUUCUGGGCCGCACGCGUGCUACACUGAUGUAUUCAACGAGUCUAUAGCCUUGGUCGACAGGCCUAGGUAAUCUUUGAAAUUUCAAUAUGAUGGGGAUAGAUCAUAGCAAUUGUUGGUCUUCAACGAGGAAUUCCUAGUAAGCACGAGUCACCAGCUCGCGUUGACUACGUCCCUACCCUUUGUACACACCGCCCGUCGCUCCUACCAAUUGAAUGGUCCGGUGAAGAGUUCAGAUCAUGAUGACAUAGAUGGUCCGCCGCUCGCGACAUCGCUAGAAGUCCAUUGAACCUUAUCAUUUAGAGGAAGGAGAAGUCGUAACAAGGUUUCCGUAGGUGAACCUACGAAAG